AGCAGUAAGGGAAUCUUCCACAAUGGACGAAAGUCUGAUGGAGCAACGCCGCGUGAGUGAAGAAGGUUUUCGGAUCGUAAAGCUCUGUUGUUGGUGAAGAAGGAUAGAGGCAGUAACUGGUUUCUAUUUGACGGUAAUCAACCAGAAAGUCACGGCUAACUACGUGACAG
RNAcentral lists this ribosomal RNA (170 nucleotides) under uncultured bacterium. Its description in RNAcentral is "partial 16S rRNA". It matches the Rfam family "Bacterial small subunit ribosomal RNA", at positions 350 to 511 of the family's 1533-position model. The record is from RNAcentral.